RNAcentral lists this ribosomal RNA (503 nucleotides) under uncultured bacterium. RNAcentral's name for it is "bacterial SSU rRNA". It matches the Rfam family "Bacterial small subunit ribosomal RNA", at positions 16 to 518 of the family's 1533-position model. The record is from RNAcentral.
AUCCUGGCUUAGGAUGAACGCUGGCGGCGUGCCUAACACAUGCAAGUCGAGCGAGAAGCUUCGGAGUAGAUUCUUCGGAUGACACACUGAAGUGGACAGCGGCGGACGGGUGAGUAACGCUGGGCAACCUGCCCUUUCGGAGGAUAGCCAAGGGAAACUUUGAAUAAUACUCCAUAAAGCAGUGACAUCACAUGGUGAUACUGCCAAAGAUUUAUCGGAGAGGGAUGGGCCCGCGUCUGAUUAGCCAGUUGGUGAGGUAGCGGCUCACCAAAGCGACGAUCGGUAGCCGGCCUGAGAGGGUGAACGGCCACAUUGGAACUGAGACACGGUCCAGACUCCUACGGGAGGCAGCAGUGGGAGUAUUGCACAAUGGGCGGAAGCCUGAAUGCAGCAACGCCGCGUGAAGGAUGAAGGUUUUCGGAUCGUAAACUUCUGUCCCUGGGGAAGAAGAAAGUGACGGUACCCAAGGAGGAAGCCCCGGCUAACUACGUGCCAGCAGCUGC